CCAUCUCCGACGGAGCCUAAACCAACACCACAAACACGCAGCUCUCCGAAAGCUAUCAUCACUCUCAAUCUCAAUUUCGGUGCAUCCACUUCGAUCUCUCGUCUUUCUUGAUCUCUGAUUUCGUUUGAUUCCUUCUUUGUCUUCUCUUUUGAAUCGUGAUAUUCCCGUUAUCGCAGAUGAUGAGGAUACGAUGAAGAUGAAGCGUUGUUGUUGAAGAUUGUAUGAAGCGGUUGUGACGCGAUGAUGAAUCGUGAUGAUGAAGAUUGAGCAACGAAGAACGAUUCUUGGCGAUUGAAGAAGAACUCCGAUGGAGAUUUUGCGGUUCACACAUCAAGUUAUAUGUAAGCCAUUUGGUGUAGGCAUAGCAAGGUGCAUAGUGAGCAAUAUGGUGAGGAGUGACGUCGAAUCAAUGUCGUUACGUUAUCAGAAUGAGCUGAACCAGAGUAAAGGCAAAAGGGGAAUGGUUUUAGUCUGAAUACAGUGGUAGUUCCUACUUCUGUCCAACUUGAGGUGGAUUGAAAAUGAGCUUGAAAGCUUGAAGAAGUGUGGUGUUGUUCAAGAAAAAACAUGGUGACUUGAAGUUAAGGUGUGAAAGCUAUGAAGUUGAUGAAGAAUAAAAUUAGCAUGAAGAAGAUUCCAUGGAGGCUUGCUUGUCUUUCUUUUUGUGAUGAUAGGGAUGUACUAAUUCUCAUAGUUUAUGUUGAAUUCAUGAUGUGGAAUGUAUGUAAUUGGGAUUUGUAAUAGGGUUUGAACUUUGAUGUAAUAUGAGAUGGGUGUUUGAACUAGUAACGGUUUAUGAUAUUUAUGUAAACAUUUUCAUGGUUUCUGUUGGACUAACUCAUGAAGGCCUCCACAUGCUUUAUUUUAUGAAUGGAAAGUUUGGAUUGAACUUGUUUUAUAAUGUAUAUUUGGACUUUUUGUUGAAUGAAGCUUAGCUCAUAAUUAGAAACCCCCUUGAAUUUCAUUCAUAUCUCUGUGCAUCAAAUAGAGUUUGUAGCUUAGUCCUUGAAUGUAUGUAUCCCCCACUUGAUGUUAGAGGUUGUUUUCUUUUCAUGCAUCAAUGAGCACCAUUCUCUAACGUGAUCACGAUCCACAUGAGUCAUAAUGAGAUCUUAUCCAAGGACCAUUUAGUUACAACAUAGGUCCAAAGGUUUCAAGACACACAACGAACCAUCUUUCGACUUAAAAUUAUCAGAAUUAACACCUUGAUCACCACCGCGAUGAAUAUAACCAUGAGGAA
Long non-coding RNA from Vicia villosa (hairy vetch), 1240 nucleotides. RefSeq lists it as uncharacterized. The transcript is spliced from 4 exons. Lineage: Eukaryota; Viridiplantae; Streptophyta; Magnoliopsida; Fabales; Fabaceae. The record is from RefSeq and is a predicted model, not a curated record.